UCUCUAUUUAUUACCUCUCCUCACUUUCCCUCUCCCCAAAUCCGACUCACUCCUCUCACUUAAUCUCUCUUCCCUCUCUUCUCUAUCUCCCACUCUCAUUCACUCUCCCAUCUCUCUCUCAUUGUCUCCUCUAACUCUCUCACACUCACUCCUCUCUCAUUCUCACUCACUCUCAAUCUUACCAAAAGGUAAUUUCUCCCCAAAUUUGAAUUUUUUGUUUCAUUAAUAUGUGUUUUUGGAGUUAAUUAAUUGGGUUUGGUGUGGGGUGGAGUUUGGGGUAUGCCAAUUUUAGGGGAGAUUAUGCCGAUUUUUUGGUAUUAUGUUAUGUUAUUUUUUUGUCUAUUUGACCAUGUUUGUUUUGUUUGUAGAGGAUCGUCCAUACAUUGACAGGGAAAUUGGGGAUUAUGACACUAUCGGACAAUAACCCCCGCCACUACCACCACAUUACACUUGUAUUAGGAUUUUAUUAUUGUACUUUGUUAAUUUAUGUGUACGUUUUUAAUAUAAUAUAUAUUAUGGAUAAUUUGAUCACUAUUUUUCAUAUGUAAUUUUAUGUUGAAUAUGUCAAUUUAAAUUAAAGUAAUUAAAAAAAUAAAGAUACAAUUAAAAUGAAUUAAGAAAGUAAAAAUUUGAAAAAUUUUGCCCUACCAAAUAUUUCAUCACGCAAACAAUUACUAUAAUUAAACUAAAAUAAGAGAAAUAAUAAAACAAAAUAAAAUACCUUGUGCAACAAAAUAUUUCGUCUCGCAAACAAUUAAUUUCGUCAAGAAAUAUAUUAAAUUAGUUUAAUUAAAUAAAAAAAUAAAAAACUAGCGCGACAAAAUCUUUCGUUGUGCAAAGGCACACUACGCGACAAAUAUUUAUUUUCGUUGCGCAAACCCUAUUGUAAUGAGCUUUGUGAGACCAAUCAUGCGUGACAAAAAUUUCGUCUCAUAAUGUUUUGAGCGACGAAAUCAUAUUUUGUGCAACAAAUCUUAUUUUGUCGCACAAAAUGUUUUUUCUAGAAGUGUAAGUUUAUAAUUAAAUCAUUGUUCAUUAUAUUUGUCACAGCCCGUCCCGGGAUUUCUAUAUAUCAGGGACGUGAAAUGACAGAAUUACCCUUGACGGGUAUUAAGGUAUGUGUGUGUGUGACAUAUUAUUGGACUAAAUUCAUUCAUUCCUAAGCUUUUGGAAAAUAAAUUAAGUUAGAUUAAAAUGUUGGGUUGUAAUUUGUGUGGUUAGGGAAUGAUGUUGUGAUUUGUUUUUGGGUGGCCCACACAACACUCACGCACGGGACAUCUUUCCCUUUCCCAUCCCCGUGCUCUCUCUCUCUCUCUUCUCCGUCUCAGUCACCCUCUCCCUCUCGAAAUUGUACGGACAAGACCAAAUACCCUCGAACUUUCACGGAUCGAUGCCAAAAAGGUAUGGUUCGUCAUCCUUUCAACCUCCUGAGUCGUUUGGUACUAGUUUUAGAACGUGAAACCUUCGAAACCACGUGAAACCCGAACCCCUGUUUUAUGUCACUGUUCAUGCAAUCGUGAUAUGUUGAUUUUCAGGGAAUUCUAAGCUUAUAGUGAGCUUAGUGAGGUCCUAAGGAAGCUCGGAGUGCUUCGUUUGAAGGUUUUGGACGUCGGGAUCAUUAGGUUCAAAAUUGGCUGGUUUUCUUGGAAUUUUCCAGUGAGAUUUUGUAGUUUUUAGAGCCUUAAAGUAGUGUAACGUAAAUCUACAUGCUU
This 1712-nucleotide long non-coding RNA is filed under the name Malus domestica (apple). RNAcentral's name for it is "long non-coding RNA (MDOM_LNC017404)". Lineage: Eukaryota; Viridiplantae; Streptophyta; Magnoliopsida; Rosales; Rosaceae. The record is from RNAcentral.